This 1369-nucleotide ribosomal RNA is filed under the name uncultured bacterium. RNAcentral's name for it is "bacterial SSU rRNA". It matches the Rfam family "Bacterial small subunit ribosomal RNA". The record is from RNAcentral.
AGAGUUUGAUUCUGGCUCAGAACGAACGCUGGCGGCGUGGAUAAGACAUGCAAGUCGAACGAGAGAAUUGCUAGCUUGCUAAUAAUUCUCUAGUGGCGCACGGGUGAGUAACACGUGAGUAACCUGCCCCCGAGAGCGGGAUAGCCCUGGGAAACUGGGAUUAAUACCGCAUAGUAUCGAAAGAUCAAAGCAGCAAUGCGCUUGGGGAUGGGCUCGCGGCCUAUUAGUUAGUUGGUGAGGUAACGGCUCACCAAGGCGAUGACGGGUAGCCGGUCUGAGAGGAUGUCCGGCCACACUGGAACUGAGACACGGUCCAGACACCUACGGGUGGCAGCAGUCGAGAAUCAUUCACAAUGGGGGAAACCCUGAUGGUGUGACGCCGCGUGGGGGAAUGAAGGUCUUCGGAUUGUAAACCCCUGUCAUGUGGGAGCAAAUUAAAAAGAUAGUACCACAAGAGGAAGAGACGGCUAACUCUGUGCCAGCAGCCGCGGUAAUACAGAGGUCUCAAGCGUUGUUCGGAAUCACUGGGCGUAAAGCGUGCGUAGGCUGUUUCGUAAGUCGUGUGUGAAAGGCGCGGGCUCAACCCGCGGACGGCACAUGAUACUGCGAGACUAGAGUAAUGGAGGGGGAACCGGAAUUCUCGGUGUAGCAGUGAAAUGCGUAGAUAUCGAGAGGAACACUCGUGGCGAAGGCGGGUUCCUGGACAUUAACUGACGCUGAGGCACGAAGGCCAGGGGAGCGAAAGGGAUUAGAUACCCCUGUAGUCCUGGCAGUAAACGGUGCACGCUUGGUGUGCGGGGAAUCGACCCCCUGCGUGCCGGAGCUAACGCGUUAAGCGUGCCGCCUGGGGAGUACGGUCGCAAGAUUAAAACUCAAAGAAAUUGACGGGGACCCGCACAAGCGGUGGAGUAUGUGGCUUAAUUCGAUGCAACGCGAAGAACCUUACCUGGGCUUGACAUGUAAUGAACAACAUGUGAAAGCAUGCGACUCUUCGGAGGCGUUACACAGGUGCUGCAUGGCCGUCGUCAGCUCGUGUCGUGAGAUGUUUGGUUAAGUCCAGCAACGAGCGCAACCCCUGUUGCCAGUUACCAGCACGUGAAGGUGGGGACUCUGGCGAGACUGCCCAGAUCAACUGGGAGGAAGGUGGGGACGACGUCAGGUCAGUAUGGCCCUUAUGCCCAGGGCUGCACACGUACUACAAUGCCCAGUACAGAGGGGGCCGAAGCCGCGAGGCGGAGGAAAUCCUGAAAACUGGGCCCAGUUCGGACUGUAGGCUGCAACCCGCCUACACGAAGCCGGAAUCGCUAGUAAUCGCGGAUCAGCAUGCCGCGGUGAAUACGUUCCCGGGCCUUGCACUCACCGCCCGUCA